GAUGAACGCUGGCGGCGUGCCUAAUACAUGCAAGUCGAGCGAACGGACGAGAAGCUUGCUUCUCUGAUGUUAGCGGCGGACGGGUGAGUAACACGUGGAUAACCUACCUAUAAGACUGGGAUAACUUCGGGAAACCGUAGCUAAUACCGGAUAAUAUUUUGAACCGCAUGGUUCAAAAGUGAAAGACGGCCUUGCUGUCACUUAUAGAUGGAUCCGCGCUGCAUUAGCUAGUUGGUAAGGUAACGGCUUACCAAGGCAACGAUGCAUAGCCGACCUGAGAGGGUGAUCGGCCACACUGGAACUGAUACACGGUCCAGACUCCUACGGGAGGCAGCAGUAGGGAAUCUUCCGCAAUGGGCGAAAGCCUGACGGAGCAACGCCGCGUGAGUGAUGAAGGUCUUCGGAUCGUAAAACUCUGUUAUUAGGGAAGAACAUAUGUGUAAGUAACUGUGCACAUCUUGACGGUACCUAAUCAGAAAGCCACGGCUAACUACGUG
RNAcentral lists this ribosomal RNA (497 nucleotides) under uncultured bacterium. Its description in RNAcentral is "partial 16S ribosomal RNA". It matches the Rfam family "Bacterial small subunit ribosomal RNA", at positions 28 to 507 of the family's 1533-position model. The record is from RNAcentral.